AGAGUUUGAUUCUGGCUCAGGAUGAACGCUAGCGACAGGCUUAACACAUGCAAGUCGAGGGGCAGCAUAGGAGUAGCAAUACUUGGUGGCGACCGGCGCACGGGUGAGUAACGCGUAUGCAACCUACCUAUCAGAGGGGAAUAACCCGGCGAAAGUCGGACUAAUACCGCAUAAAACAGGGGCACCGCAUGGUGAUAUUUGUUAAAGAAAUUCGCUGAUAGAUGGGCAUGCGUUCCAUUAGGUAGUUGGUGAGGUAACGGCUCACCAAGCCGACGAUGGAUAGGGGAACUGAGAGGUUGGUCCCCCACACUGGUACUGAGACACGGACCAGACUCCUACGGGAGGCAGCAGUGAGGAAUAUUGGUCAAUGGGCGGGAGCCUGAACCAGCCAAGUCGCGUGAAGGAAGAAGGAUCUAUGGUUCGUAAACUUCUUUUGCAGGGGAAUAAAGUGCAGGACGUGUCCUGUUUUGUAUGUACCCUGAGAAUAAGGAUCGGCUAACUCCGUGCCAGCAGCGGC
Molecule: ribosomal RNA, 517 nt
Filed under: uncultured bacterium
Lineage: Bacteria
Description: bacterial SSU rRNA
Rfam family: Bacterial small subunit ribosomal RNA
Source: RNAcentral